GUGGUUUUUAUUUUGAAGCAGUUAAGACUGUUCAGCUUGCAUAAGCAGUAUCACAGCUCUUCUAAAGCUUUCAGAGUCCCAGUAAACAAUGAGCCUUAAUUAAUGGAACUUUCACCAUCGCAAUUUAAUGGUGGAUAUCUGUGGCAUGUCAUAUAUGUGUUUGUUUUAGUACAUUGAAUGUGUUCUCUUACUAUUUAGUUGUUUGUAAUCAAAGUGUGAAAUCUAUUGUUAUGGAUUAACUGAUGCCUGAAAUAAAUUGGACUGAAGGUGUUCACUACAUUUCUUGCUACAGUCAGAAAGAACUUUGGCAGCUGAGGCAGUAUGAGACUGUAACAAUGAGUCCCAGGGUCUGCUGGAGUGCAGGAGAGGAGCAAAUGUGCCUGCAGUAAGAAAACAGAGAGGUCAGAGUGCACUGGUGUGAUGGACUGUACACGUCUGUGGAUCAGGCUACCUCUCCCAGAACAACUGAGGGUUUAGCGAUACUGUACAGUGGAACUGCAGGUGCUUGGGACUUUUCAUCUGCACUUCUUAUCACUAUCAGACCAGAAUGUGCUGAAGUUGUAAUGUUAAUAUUAGUAUUCAUUAAUAUAUUCACAUCUUUCUACAACAGUGGAGAACAUUUUAACUUUCUUUCUGCUUUAUUGCCUGUUUUUUUUGUUUUUUGUUUUUUGUUUGUUUGUUUGUUUUUUACUGUCUGUCAUUAACACAGAAAAACUUGAAAAGAUUGAGAACAUGUCCAGCUUUGUCAGUCCCAGGUGAGAGGGAAUGGUGAGCAGUCAUCAGUGAUGUAUCAGGUACAGACAGGUGUACAGACAGUAUUACCUUUUCAGGUUUCAAAUGCCUUUUCUACAGAACUUUCCAACAUAACACUGUAAGAAAAUAGAGGCAGUGUAAUAUGUGUGUGUUUCUUGUAUUUUGUGGUCCUUUUGUCCAUGUAAUGCCUGUUUAAUGUUAAUGUUUCCAAAAGUACAACAAACGUACAAAUGGAAUUUUCAAAUAUGGAUUACACUCUUCAAAAUAAAAGACAAUAUUUAAAAGCCAAAGGAAGUAACCGACUUUGAAAUUCAUACCAUGGGUUUGUCAUGGGUUUGAAUCUCAGUGACCAUGAACGCACUGUUAGAGUUAAGAGGUCGGGUUUUCUUGAGAACAAGGUAAUUUAGCAUUGUGAAAUUCAUACCAUAGGUGAAUUUGCCAAGACACUUAGGGGUGCCACUGACUGCUCCCAGUAUUUUUUGUUUGUUUGUUUUUAUAAACAUCCCCUAUACUUAUGAAGGCAGCUUGGAUUCUGUGUCA
Long non-coding RNA from Astatotilapia calliptera (eastern happy), 1293 nucleotides. The record is from Ensembl. NCBI's taxonomy places the organism in Eukaryota, Metazoa, Chordata, Actinopteri, Cichliformes, Cichlidae.